This 74-nucleotide transfer RNA is filed under the name Trichoderma hamatum GD12. Its description in RNAcentral is "tRNA-Cys (GCA) (tRNA-Cys-GCA-1-1)". It matches the Rfam family "tRNA". Rfam says of the family: Transfer RNA (tRNA) molecules are approximately 80 nucleotides in length. Their secondary structure includes four short double-helical elements and three loops (D, anti-codon, and T loops). Lineage: Eukaryota; Fungi; Ascomycota; Sordariomycetes; Hypocreales; Hypocreaceae. The record is from RNAcentral.
GGUUCCUUAGCUCAGUGGUUUAGAGCGAGAGAUUGCAGAUCUCUAGGUCGCGUGUUCGAUUCACGCAGGAACCU